AUUGAACGCUGGCGGAAUGCUUUACACAUGCAAGUCGAACGGUAGAGGGGGCAACCCCUUGAGAGUGGCGAACGGGUGAGUAAUAUAUCGGAACGUGCCCAGUCGUGGGGGAUAACGUAGCGAAAGUUACGCUAAUACCGCAUACGAUCUAAGGAUGAAAGCGGGGGACUCGCAAGAGCCUCGCGCGAUUGGAGCGGCCGAUAUCAGAUUAGGUAGUUGGUGGGGUAAAGGCUCACCAAGCCAACGAUCUGUAGCUGGUCUGAGAGGACGACCAGCCGACACUGGAACUGAGACACGGUCCAGACUCCUACGGGAGGCAGCAGUGGGGAAUUUUGGGACAAUGGACGAAAGUCUGAUCCAGCCAUUCCGCGUGCA
This 375-nucleotide ribosomal RNA is filed under the name uncultured bacterium. RNAcentral's name for it is "bacterial SSU rRNA". It matches the Rfam family "Bacterial small subunit ribosomal RNA", at positions 30 to 405 of the family's 1533-position model. The record is from RNAcentral.